Molecule: long non-coding RNA, 721 nt
Organism: Crotalus tigris (Tiger rattlesnake)
Lineage: Eukaryota; Metazoa; Chordata; Lepidosauria; Squamata; Viperidae
Exons: 3
Source: RefSeq, a predicted model, not a curated record
CUUCAACUUGGUCCUGUAGAGGAGAGCCGGGUCCUCCCGGAUGCUGCUGCUGAUGUGCUGCUGCACCUGGAGGCAAAGUUGCUGGAGGUGGCCCUGGGGGUGUGCAAGAGGAAGGAAAGAAGGGCAGAGAUGCACAAGAUGGAAAAGGGAGCAGAACAGACACGUUUGCCGAUGUGCAAGGGGUUUUUCUCCUGGACCCGGCCCAAGAGAAAGGGCGCACAGACGGAGACGGAAGGCAGAUAGACAGAAGCUCAUCGCAUCAGGAGGCUCUUGACUAAGCCUGCAAUCACCCCGGAGCGGUUUUGAAAAGCUUUCGACCCCAGACGCGCCUUUAAAAAAAAAAGAAAGAAAGAACUUAGCUGAGCGGAAGCAGCUCCCAAGGCUGGGCGAUGGGAUGAUGCUAAAGUUGCUUUUUGUGUAAAGCUUUCAGAGGGAAGACAAUAAUUAAAAUGAAGAUAUGGAGCUCAAAGUUUAUAUCAGGCUGAGAUCAGAAGCGAGCCAGGCAGCCAACUCUUAUCAUCUCCCUCUGAAACGGGACGCUCGUCCUUCGAGAUAAAGAGCCACACUUUUUAAUUAAAAUAAUUGUUCCUUCUCAUUUCAAAACAGCGGGGAAAACCAGCCCUAUCGGAGGACUGCAGGUAAAGAGUUGAAAUCCUGCACCACCCCAUUAAUUUUGAGCCACCCCACAAAAACGGCAGAACUAAGCCGGGAAUUGGGUUGG